UCUUCAACCUCUCUGUAAUAUUUAACUUCAGCACGACUUUACUCACAAGUCACACCAAACAUCUCCUUCGGAUGUGGAUCACUAGUCUUAGAUUCAUCGCUGUUGGGCCCAUAAUCUAGCCCGACCUUCCCUUCAUAAAGCUUCUUACCUAGCUAUCCAUCACUUCGCAAAUCACAAAGUUAUGGGGUGAGGAGCUAGCUUUCAUGGAAAAAGAAAAGUUAGUAAACAGCUGGUGGAAGUUCUCUUCAAGGCUGCAGGUUAAUUCUUUGAAGAUGCAUGUCGAAGUGCAAAGAGUACUCCUCACCAAGAACACCAUGGUUGACACUUUGAUACAAAGCCAGUUGAGGCCUAAGGAAAUGUCCGUGGAUGGAAGAUUUGCAACUUCAGGCUACAAUGACACAAGCCCUUUCGAAACAGAAAGCUGUUGGCCUUAAUUUGGUGCUAUCCUAUCUGAGCUUUAUAACCUUAAUAGUUUCUUUCUGUCCCCACCACGAUUUCUUCUUGACCUUGUAAGACCUUUUCUUAGCGUUGCAAGAUCCAACGGUUAAUUUGCUACCCUUGUAUUACUAUCACGAAGGUCUUCCUAUUUGGAGCCUACUGAUAGAAAGCUCAGCCAUUAGCAUCCCUCUUGCCACCCAACUCAUCAUCUCCUUCUCUGUCUAUCCCUCCUGAGCUAUUUCGAUCACACCGCAAGAUCACAUUUCUGGCAUCUCGAAAAUCUUGUAGGACUUUUGAACAUGCAAUGUUGCUGUUGUAUAUUUUACUUAUUUUUGUUUUGAGAAUCAAUAAUCGUAAUUGUUAUU
Molecule: long non-coding RNA, 803 nt
Organism: Populus trichocarpa (black cottonwood)
Lineage: Eukaryota; Viridiplantae; Streptophyta; Magnoliopsida; Malpighiales; Salicaceae
Exons: 2
Source: RefSeq, a predicted model, not a curated record